AACUGACAACAAGAGAACCUGUCUGAUAUUAUGAAAUAUUUACUGUUAGGGGUAAAAAUAUCUACCAGACCACCGGACAGGCUACUUUUGAAAUUUGACCAUCCGAGAUGAAAAUAAACCGUUCCGGCCUGUCGGGCUGGCGGGAAUUUUAAACGCUAGUCAUAUAUAUCAUAUGUGCACAUAUGUGUAAUAGCAGUGACAAUGUGUAAUAAUCUCUAUUUCUGCAAUCAUAAGAAGUAUGUGCUUCAAGCACAUUGUCUGAUUCCAACUAUACCAUAAGUAUGUGUUUAUGAGUUAUUAUCAAACAGGUUGAAACAUUUUCUUCUACUGUACAAGUUAAGUCUUCUGACAUAUUCAUUGCCUUAGAAGCUGUUUCGUGGCAUUCGACAAAAACGGAUAUUGACACCAUGUAUUGACAUGAAUUACUAAAAAUAGAAUGGAAAUACUCGGAAGUGGUGUUCCUCAAAUCUAAGCUGAUCAGAUGUCUCCGUUUUGCUUUUUAUACAUCUGUUAAAACCAACGUAACAAACCCUCCCCAUUUUCAUAAGAAAUCUCUCAUAAAAGCAGAGUUAAAAGUAGAGACUAAGCAUGUUUAUGAAUCAAAAUUGUGAUGAUACCAGGUGUUCGCUAAAACUGAGCGUAUCCUGCUCCACGGUUUGGCACCGUCAUAAACACAUGCAAAGCCUAGGAAAGUGUUCACCUGAUGAAAUUCGGGAACGUAUGGUACAAGUCCAAAUUUAAAGGGAAAUGCAUCAGACAUAAUGUUGCUGCAUCAGAUUUUGAGAUGUUCUCAACAUGUCUACUGUAAAACCACCAGCAAAAACAUCGACCCAGUUAAAAUAAAUAUUAUUUAAAACGUCA
Haliotis rubra (blacklip abalone) is the source of this 861-nucleotide long non-coding RNA. RefSeq lists it as uncharacterized. The record is from RefSeq and is a predicted model, not a curated record. Lineage: Eukaryota; Metazoa; Mollusca; Gastropoda; Lepetellida; Haliotidae. The transcript is spliced from 2 exons.